RNAcentral lists this ribosomal RNA (429 nucleotides) under Bacteroidota bacterium. RNAcentral describes it as "Bacteroidetes bacterium partial 16S ribosomal RNA". It matches the Rfam family "Bacterial small subunit ribosomal RNA", at positions 355 to 776 of the family's 1533-position model. Lineage: Bacteria; Pseudomonadati; Bacteroidota. The record is from RNAcentral.
UAGGGAAUCUUCGGCAAUGGGGGGAACCCUGACCGAGCAACGCCGCGUGAGUGAAGAAGGUUUUCGGAUCGUAAAGCUCUGUUGUUAAGGAAGAACGAGUGUGAGAAUGGAAAGUUCAUGCUGUGACGGUACUUAACCAGAAAGGGACGGCUAACUACGUGCCAGCAGCCGCGGUAAUACGUAGGUCCCGAGCGUUGUCCGGAUUUAUUGGGCGUAAAGCGAGCGCAGGCGGUUAGAAAAGUCUGAAGUGAAAGGCAGUGGCUCAACCAUUGUAGGCUUUGGAAACUGUGUAACUUGAGAGCAGAAGGGGAGAGUGGAAUUCCAUGUGUAGCGGUGAAAUGCGUAGAUAUAUAGAGGAACACCGGUGGCGAAAGCGGCUCUCUGGUCUGUAACUGACGCUGAGGCUCGAAAGCGUGGGGAGCGAACAGG